Molecule: ribosomal RNA, 448 nt
Filed under: uncultured Acidithiobacillus sp.
Lineage: Bacteria; Pseudomonadati; Pseudomonadota; Acidithiobacillia; Acidithiobacillales; Acidithiobacillaceae
Description: bacterial SSU rRNA
Rfam family: Bacterial small subunit ribosomal RNA
Source: RNAcentral
CGGUGGAGCAUGUGGUUAAUUCGAAGCAACGCGAAGAACCUUACAGGUCUUGACAUCCCGAUGCUAUUCUAGAGAUAGAAAGUUACUUCGGUACAUCGGUGACAGGUGGUGCAUGGUUGUCGUCAGCUCGUGUCGUGAGAUGUUGGGUUAAGUCCCGCAACGAGCGCAACCCUUGUCACUAGUUGCCAUCAUUUGGUUGGGCACUCUAGUGAGACUGCCGGUGACAAACCGGAGGAAGGUGGGGAUGACGUCAAGUCAUCAUGGCCCUUACGGCCUGGGCUACACACGUGCUACAAUGGUCGGUACAAAGGGUUGCCAAGCCGCGAGGUGGAGCUAAUCCCAUAAAACCGAUCGUAGUCCGGAUCGCAGUCUGCAACUCGACUGCGUGAAGUCGGAAUCGCUAGUAAUCGUGGAUCAGCAUGUCACGGUGAAUACGUUCCCGGGUCUU